GCACUUGGUAACCAGCAGACGGCAUUUGGUAACCAGCAGACAGUCGUUUUCGAUACGAGAUUUCAAGAGGAGGGCUGUUGUUUUGAAUGAACCUGAUUGUACUGUGACAUGAUCAGCCUAUGACAGUAGUGAGAAGGUCACCUCGGCAAAUGACUAGAAAAGGAAUCAGAUGCCAGCGGUCCACUUAAUCCUUUGCAGUGUGCUGGAGUGAUCAAUGCACUAAUGCGCCUAAACAGCAAAAAGUGAUUGCGAUCAUGCACAUCUUGGAACUACAUCUGCGUGGCAAUACAGUGGUUAUGUGGAUGUGUAGAUAGAUGUGUUAGCAGAGCAAAGAAUACAUCAGUGGAGAUCUAUAUUCAAGACUUAAUAUACUGUCAACAUGUUGUUUAGCACUUCUAAUAGAAGGAUUUAUGCAGAAAGAGGGACUUGUAUAUAUACGGAAUUAAAUAAGAGAGGAUUGAAACUGCGCGAGAACAAAGGGAAAGAAAUGAAACAUGUUGGCAUCAAUAUUAACACCAAGUUUUAGGUGAGAUUUUUUUUAUUGCAACCUUCAAACCUGCUGGCAGCAAGUGAUUCUGCCUUUGUGACCAGUGCAGGCUGAUCAUGGUCAGCAUUGUUCGCUAUUCAGUCAGUAAAUUUUCAGUGAACAGACUCUCGAAUAAUUAAUGGUAUUGUCUAAGUUAAAUGAUGGAAAUUUAGCAGGCUGAAAGUAAAGCUUAUGCUUUUAAAUGGCAACAGGUUUAAUCUUCUUGUUCUUUUUUUCCUUAUCUGAUUUUAUAGCUGACAGUAGGUAAUAAUAUCAUAAACAUUUUUGCCCAAGAUUUCAGACAAAUUCAGUAAAGAUUUUCAUGCUUAUUUGUAAAAUAUAAAUAUAUUUCAGGAAAGGAAUAUCAGUUGUCUUCAACUGAGAGUGAAAAUAUAGAUUGUGUAUUAAAAAACUAAUUCAUUUCUAAAUACCAAUUUAUAUCUUGUCUUUUCACUAUUUUUUGAUAUUUUACUGUUUUGAGAAAACAAUACAUGCCACUGUUUCAGGAAACAUGACAAUUUAUAAUUGUGCAAAAUGAGAAGUUUCGUGUAAAACAUAAUUCUACUUUUAAUAACGUCCAUAAAUCAGUACAUGUACUAUUUUUGACUUUCAAGUAAAUAGUGAACUUGAGUCUUAUAGAAGUGGAAUUUUUGCCUUUCCUAGUUCUGUUUCUGCUUUUAGUGUUGAGCAAUAAAGAGGACAAAGUAACCUGCACAUAUUUCAUUCACAUCUUCCAAUGAAAUUCGAUUGUUUUCUGGUUAUUUUUGCCACGAUUUCUUAAUAAAUCACAGGGAGAGAGUUUCUAAAUCCUACUCAAUCCUCUUUG
Mercenaria mercenaria is the source of this 1352-nucleotide long non-coding RNA. RefSeq lists it as uncharacterized. NCBI's taxonomy places the organism in Eukaryota, Metazoa, Mollusca, Bivalvia, Venerida, Veneridae. The record is from RefSeq and is a predicted model, not a curated record. The transcript is spliced from 6 exons.